RNAcentral lists this ribosomal RNA (510 nucleotides) under uncultured bacterium. Its description in RNAcentral is "partial 16S ribosomal RNA". It matches the Rfam family "Bacterial small subunit ribosomal RNA", at positions 28 to 507 of the family's 1533-position model. The record is from RNAcentral.
GACGAACGCUGGCGGCGUGCUUAACACAUGCAAGUCGAACGAAGAGCGAUGGAAGCUUGCUUCUAUCAAUCUUAGUGGCGAACGGGUGAGUAACGCGUAAUCAACCUGCCCUUCAGAGGGGGACAACAGUUGGAAACGACUGCUAAUACCGCAUACGAUCUAAUCUCGGCAUCGAGGAUAGAUGAAAGGUGGCCUCUACAUGUAAGCUAUCACUGAAGGAGGGGAUUGCGUCUGAUUAGUUAGUUGGAGGGGUAACGGCCCACCAAGGCGAUGAUCAGUAGCCCGACUGAGAGGAUGAACGGCCACACUGGGACGGAGACACGGCCCAGACGGCCACGGGAGGCAGCAGUGGGGAAUCUUCCGCAAGGGACGAAAGUCUGACGGAGCAACGCCGCGGGAGUGAUGACGGCCGUCGGGUUGGAAAGCUCUGUUAAUCGGGACGAAAGGCCUCCUUGCGAAUAGGGAGAAGGAUUGACGGUACCGGAAUAGAAAGCCACGGCUAACUACGUG